This 1327-nucleotide long non-coding RNA is filed under the name Equus caballus (horse). Its description in RNAcentral is "lncRNA (ENSECAG00000055849.1)". The record is from RNAcentral. Lineage: Eukaryota; Metazoa; Chordata; Mammalia; Perissodactyla; Equidae.
UAACAUUUGUAUCAAAUUUGUGAAUAAAACACAUCUUUGUUAAGUACACUGCAUUAAUGAUGCAAGAGGGGAGAGGAAACUGUCCACCUGCAAUUCUCAUAGCAUGUAUUCUAAAGAUAACAUUAAACAUUUGAUACUGAAACAGGAAACAGGAACAGAUAACAUAACUAAGAUUCUGGUAAGCAGUUAAACAACCAGUUGUCAAAAUGUUAAAAGUUCCACUUGCUCGAGAAGCUGACAAUUGCUGGAAUCCUCUGAAAAUGUAAUGUUAUAUCAGGACUGACAGAAGCCUACCAAUGGUAUCUGGACCUCCGUCGAUUUGGAUCUGUGCCACAUGGAGGUUUUGGGAUGGGAUUUGAACGCUAUCUGCAGUGCAUCUUGGGAAUUGACAAUAUCAAAGAUGUUAUCCCUUUUCCAAGAUUUACUCAUUCAUGUCUUUUAUAGCUGGAAGACUGGUUGAGGAAGAUCACUCCAUGCCGGAGGUGUUGCACAUGAGUGUCCACACAGGAGAGUGAAUGUUUGAAUUUUAGAAAUGCAGAAGUUUUCACAUGUAAUUGUCAUGCUGUAAGAUAUAAUAUAUGAAAAAUAGAAAUGAUCAUGAUUUUCUUAGAAAGUUGAGAGCAGGGGCCAGCCCCAUGGCUGAGCGGUAAGUUUGUACGCUCCGCUUCGGCAGCUCAGGGUUUCUCUGGUUCAGAUCCUGGGCACGGACGUGGCGCUGCUCAUCAGGCCAUGCUGAGGCAGCAUCCCACACAGCACAACCAGAAGGACCUACAACUAGAGUAUACAACUAUGUACUGGGGGCUUUGGGGAGAGGAAGAAGAAAAAAAACAAAGUUGAAAGCAUUUCAUGGAAAGAUGAACUCCUUCAAGAAGAAGUACUUACAGCAGGUAGAAUCUCAACUCUAUUAUGUCAGUUAAGAAGAAAUGAAGCAGUUGAACUAGAUGGUCCCAAAGUUCCUUUCAAACUUGAAGACAGUGAGAGACAAUGUAUUUUACUUUGUCUUUAAUUAUUGGAUCCUGCCCUGUGUGACCUUGAGAAACAACUAGUAGCUAAAAAUAAAAUGUUGUUGGAUAUUUUCUCCCCUGCAUUUAACCUGUGAUAAAUGCCCAUCUUAUUCUCAGUGUUUUACUAAACAUUACAGAAGAAAAUAUUCCUUUUUUGGGGCCUUAACUGAGUUAAUAAAGUUGCUAUUCUGAAUUGAAAUCUUCUUUCAUCAGACUGGAUGAAAAAAAUCACAUUUAAUAACUGUUGAUCCUUAAUUAUAAAAGGUAACAAGUGUAUUAAUUAUUUAAACUAAUCAAUGUUGUGUUAUAAUUCAUAUUAGAUG